UGAGGAAUAUUGCGCAAUGGGGGCAACCCUGACGCAGCAACGCCGCGUGAGUGAGGAGGGUUUUCGGACCGUAAAGCUCUGUCGAGCGGGAAGAAAUGCAUGGUGGCUAAUAUCCAUCAUGCUUGACGGUACCGCUAAAGGAAGCACCGGCUAACUCCGUGCCAGCAGCCGCGGUAAUACGGGGGGUGCGAGCGUUGUUCGGAAUUAUUGGGCGUAAAGAGCGUGUAGGCGGCCGAAUAAGUCAGAUGUGAAAUCCCUGGGCUUAACCCAGGACGUGCAUUCGAAACUAUUCGGCUGGAGUAGGGGAGAGGAAAGUGGAAUUCCUGGUGUAGAGGUGAAAUUCGUAGAUAUCAGGAGGAACACCGGUGGCGAAGGCGACUUUCUGGCCCUAUACUGACGCUGAGACGCGAGAGCGUGGGUAGCAAACAG
RNAcentral lists this ribosomal RNA (429 nucleotides) under uncultured bacterium. RNAcentral's name for it is "bacterial SSU rRNA". It matches the Rfam family "Bacterial small subunit ribosomal RNA", at positions 355 to 775 of the family's 1533-position model. The record is from RNAcentral.